Molecule: ribosomal RNA, 1372 nt
Filed under: uncultured bacterium
Lineage: Bacteria
Description: bacterial SSU rRNA
Rfam family: Bacterial small subunit ribosomal RNA
Source: RNAcentral
GAUGAACGCUGGCGGCGUGCCUAAUACAUGCAAGUCGAGCGAACGGACGAGAAGCUUGCUUCUCUGAUGUUAGCGGCGGACGGGUGAGUAACACGUGGAUAACCUACCUAUAAGACUGGGAUAACUUCGGGAAACCGGAGCUAAUACCGGAUAAUAUUUUGAACCGCAUGGUUCAAAAGUGAAAGACGGUCUUGCUGUCACUUAUAGAUGGAUCCGCGCUGCAUUAGCUAGUUGGUAAGGUAACGGCUUACCAAGGCAACGAUGCAUAGCCGACCUGAGAGGGUGAUCGGCCACACUGGAACUGAGACACGGUCCAGACUCCUACGGGAGGCAGCAGUAGGGAAUCUUCCGCAAUGGGCGAAAGCCUGACGGAGCAACGCCGCGUGAGUGAUGAAGGUCUUCGGAUCGUAAAACUCUGUUAUUAGGGAAGAACAUAUGUGUAAGUAACUGUGCACAUCUUGACGGUACCUAAUCAGAAAGCCACGGCUAACUACGUGCCAGCAGCCGCGGUAAUACGUAGGUGGCAAGCGUUAUCCGGAAUUAUUGGGCGUAAAGCGCGCGUAGGCGGUUUUUUAAGUCUGAUGUGGAAGCCCACGGCUCAACCGUGGAGGGUCAUUGGAAACUGGAAAACUUGAGUGCAGAAGAGGAAAGUGGAAUUCCAUGUGUAGCGGUGAAAUGCGCAGAGAUAUGGAGGAACACCAGUGGCGAAGGCGACUUUCUGGUCUGUAACUGACGCUGAUGUGCGAAAGCGUGGGGAUCAAACAGGAUUAGAUACCCUGGUAGUCCACGCCGUAAACGAUGAGUGCUAAGUGUUAGGGGGUUUCCGCCCCUUAGUGCUGCAGCUAACGCAUUAAGCACUCCGCCUGGGGAGUACGACCGCAAGGUUGAAACUCAAAGGAAUUGACGGGGACCCGCACAAGCGGUGGAGCAUGUGGUUUAAUUCGAAGCAACGCGAAGAACCUUACCAAAUCUUGACAUCCUUUGACAACUCUAGAGAUAGAGCCUUCCCCUUCGGGGGACAAAGUGACAGGUGGUGCAUGGUUGUCGUCAGCUCGUGUCGUGAGAUGUUGGGUUAAGUCCCGCAACGAGCGCAACCCUUAAGCUUAGUUGCCAUCAUUAAGUUGGGCACUCUAAGUUGACUGCCGGUGACAAACCGGAGGAAGGUGGGGAUGACGUCAAAUCAUCAUGCCCCUUAUGAUUUGGGCUACACACGUGCUACAAUGGACAAUACAAAGGGCAGCGAAACCGCGAGGUCAAGCAAAUCCCAUAAAGUUGUUCUCAGUUCGGAUUGUAGUCUGCAACUCGACUACAUGAAGCUGGAAUCGCUAGUAAUCGUAGAUCAGCAUGCUACGGUGAAUACGUUCCCGGGUCU